Molecule: long non-coding RNA, 357 nt
Organism: Octopus sinensis (East Asian common octopus)
Lineage: Eukaryota; Metazoa; Mollusca; Cephalopoda; Octopoda; Octopodidae
Exons: 3
Source: RefSeq, a predicted model, not a curated record
GUUCGAUUCUGUUUCCUGCUUGGAAAUUUGCGGAUUUUACAUACACACAUGAAACAGAUGCUCCCCAUCAUUUCCAAGGCCACAGUCAAAAAAUCUGAAAAAACUCGUCAAAAUGGAGAAAUUCAAACUGUGUGUGCUACCUAUCGCUGACGUGUGCCAAUGCAUUAAUACAAAAUAGAGUUUCAUCGUUUUAAAGAGAACUUGGGCGACGUUUAAACAUGGAGCGUGUAUAAUUAACAUUAACAUUUAUUUACAUGAAAGAAAAUUACCGGAGAACUUUCAUCUAAUUCUUCCAUAUCUUUCUGUUAAAACUACUGAAACCAUUCGGGUACUAGUGAAGAUUGGACCCGGUGCGCG